This 360-nucleotide ribosomal RNA is filed under the name Triticum aestivum (bread wheat). RNAcentral's name for it is "partial small subunit ribosomal RNA". Lineage: Eukaryota; Viridiplantae; Streptophyta; Magnoliopsida; Poales; Poaceae. The record is from RNAcentral.
AUGUGGCUGAUCAUGCGUGGGGAAAAACCAGCACCGGGUGUGCUCAAAAUCAACUCUCAUGGGUGUUUUAAUCCUGAAUCUUCUGAUGGUCGUUGGGGCCUAGUACUCUACGGACUGAAGCAGAGGCAUGCAUCCAUGCCAUGGAGAGUCCUCAGGAGUUGGGCAUCAGAUGCCAUUGUGGAAACUGACGCUGCACAAUUGGUUACAGGAAUCAACAACUACUCUGAUCUUGCCCCAAAUGAUGUGCUGUUUCGGGAGACAAAAACUAGUAGACAUUGUGUUUACGCGUUCCCCUGUUUUAUUUGGUUCAUGACUGAGACUGACUGGUUACAAGAAGAGCACACUUCAGAUAGUAGAUAA